GCACAAGCGGUGGAUGAUGUGGUUAAUUCGAUGCAACGCGAAAACCUUACCACCUUUGACAUGUACGGAAUCCUUUAGAGAUAGAGGAGUGCUCGAAAGAGAACCGUAACACAGGUGCUGCAUGGCUGUCGUCAGCUCGUGUCGUGAGAUGUUGGGUUAAGUCCCGCAACGAGCGCAACCCUUGUCAUUAGUUGCCAUCAUUUGGUUGGGCACUCUAAUGAGACUGCCGGUGACAAACCGGAGGAAGGUGGGGAUGACGUCAAGUCCUCAUGGCCCUUAUGGGUAGGGCUUCACACGUCAUACAAUGGUCGGUACAGAGGGUUGCCAACCCGCGAGGGGGAGCUAAUCCCACAAAGCCGAUCGUAGUCCGGAUCGCAGUCUGCAACUCGACUGCGUGAAGUCGGAAUCGCUAGUAAUCGUGGAUCAGCAUGUCACGGUGAAUACGUUCCCGGGUCUU
Molecule: ribosomal RNA, 457 nt
Filed under: uncultured Rhodocyclaceae bacterium
Lineage: Bacteria; Pseudomonadati; Pseudomonadota; Betaproteobacteria; Rhodocyclales; Rhodocyclaceae
Description: bacterial SSU rRNA
Rfam family: Bacterial small subunit ribosomal RNA
Source: RNAcentral